RNAcentral lists this ribosomal RNA (623 nucleotides) under Trichosporon asahii. RNAcentral describes it as "partial large subunit ribosomal RNA". It matches the Rfam family "Eukaryotic large subunit ribosomal RNA", at positions 51 to 663 of the family's 3401-position model. The record is from RNAcentral. Lineage: Eukaryota; Fungi; Basidiomycota; Tremellomycetes; Trichosporonales; Trichosporonaceae.
CGGAGGAAAAGAAACUAACAAGGAUUCCCCUAGUAACGGCGAGUGAAGCGGGAAGAGCUCAAAUUUGAAAUCUGGCAGUCUUCGAUUGUCCGAGUUGUAAUCUAUAGAGGCGUUUUCCGUGCCGGACCGUGUCCAAGUCUCCUGGAAAGGAGUAUCAAAGAGGGUGAUAAUCCCGUACUUAACACGACCACCGGUGCUCUGUGAUACGUCUUCUACGAGUCGAGUUGUUUGGGAAUGCAGCUCAAAAUGGGUGGUGAAUUCCAUCUAAAGCUAAAUAUUGGCGAGAGACCGAUAGCGAACAAGUACCGUGAGGGAAAGAUGAAAAGCACUUUGGAAAGAGAGUUAAACAGUACGUGAAAUUGUUGAAAGGGAAACGAUUGAAGUCAGUCGUGUUCUUUGGAUUCAGCCAGUUCUGCUGGUCUACUUCCUUGGAACGGGUCAACAUCAGUUUUGUCCGGUGGAUAAAGGUAGUAGGAAUGUGACUUCUCCGGAAGUGUUAUAGCCUAUUAUCACAUACACUGGGUGAGACUGAGGACUGCAGCUCGCCUUUAUGGCCGGCCUUCGGGCACGUUCGAGCUUAGGAUGUUGACAUAAUGGCUUUAAACGACCCGUCUUGAAACACG